RNAcentral lists this ribosomal RNA (443 nucleotides) under uncultured bacterium. RNAcentral's name for it is "partial 16S ribosomal RNA". It matches the Rfam family "Bacterial small subunit ribosomal RNA", at positions 338 to 795 of the family's 1533-position model. The record is from RNAcentral.
CCUACGGGAGGCAGCAGUGGGGAAUAUUGGGCAAUGGGCGCAAGCCUGACCCAGCAACGCCGCGUGAAGGAAGAAGGCCCUCGGGUUGUAAACUUCUUUUUUCAGGGACGUAACAAAUGACGGUACCUGACGAAUAAGCCACGGCUAACUACGUGCCAGCAGCCGCGGUAAUACGUAGGUGGCAAGCGUUAUCCGGAUUUACUGGGUGUAAAGGGCGUGUAGGCGGGAGAGCAAGUCAGAUGUGAAAUUCCAGGGCUCAACCCUGGAACUGCAUUUGAAACUGUUUUUCUUGAGUGAUGGAGAGGCAGGCGGAAUUCGGGGUGUAGCGGUGAAAUGCGUAGAUAUAAGGAGGAACACCGGUGGCGAAGGCGGCCUGCUAAACAUUAACUGACGCUGAGGCGCGAAAGCGUGGGGAGCAAACAGGAUUAGAUACCCGUGUAGUC